RNAcentral lists this unclassified non-coding RNA (238 nucleotides) under Hevea brasiliensis (rubber tree). The record is from RNAcentral. Lineage: Eukaryota; Viridiplantae; Streptophyta; Magnoliopsida; Malpighiales; Euphorbiaceae.
UCUUGUCGAACUGCUUCAUCAAAGCUUCGAAGUAGUCCUUGCCGCCGACCGUGCGCAUGUACUCGGUCGAGAAGUUGGCGUGCAUGCCCGAGCCGUUCCAGUCGGUAUCGCCGAGCGGCUUGCAGUGGAAUUCGAUGUCCCAUACUUCUCGGUGAGACGCAGAAGCAGGUAACGCGCGAUCCACAUUUCAUCAGCGGCCUUCUUGGAGCCCUUGCCGAAAAUCUGGAAUUCCCACUGG